CUGCUGCGUCCCCGUGCGGCUAGAGGCAGUCGAGGAGGAGGAGGAAGAGGAGGUGGAGGCGUGGUCCUGCUGUCCCACCACCACUCUCAAGUCCUUCACUCUCACUGCCUUGGUCCUGUUGGUGGUGGUUUAAGUGGCAGGACGCAGGAGGCCGCGGUAAGCACGUGGGAAUGGUCAAGCAAGACGCCCGUGCACCGUUUGGAGGCUGAGCGGUCCAUCUGCGGCUUAUCAGAGAUCCCGACGUUCCGCAGCACUUUCCUCUCGAUGCCCACCUGGUGGACGGGGAGCAGGAGGAAGAGGGCCAGAUGCUGGGAGCGGUCUCCUUCCACGACUGGCGGCGAAGGCGUUCCUCGUUUGUAAGACCGACGACACCUGCCUCAAUUCCGGAAGCUAAGGCUGGAAGGGAGAGAAGGAGUGAUCGAUGGAUGGAUGUCGCCGCACUGGAGUCAUAUGGCGCCCAGAAAGAGGAGGCGUGGUAAGCCAUCCACACUCAGCAGCUGGCUACCGCACCAACCUUCAUAUCCCGUGGCGUCACUGCAGAUGGCGGAGGUGAUGGCGCCGUUGUAGUGCACCUUGAAUGACGGCCACAGGAGUCCGCAGGCGGUGUGUAGGUGAGAGUGCACAGUCCGGCAAUGUCAGCCUGCCACUCGGGGUACUGAUAACUCUGCCACACAGUCUGGGCCGCCUCACUGGAAUCCCCGCAAGUCGCUACCUUUGCUGCUGAGGACAAGACAAGGCAGGUGUGUCAGGUUAGGAAGACUGGGGAGGCUUGAGAUUCGCACAGUCUUCCCUCCCACCUCCUCAUCCUCCGCCGCCUCCACCGCCACCAUUGCCGCCGCCGCCACUAACACCGCCACCACCACAGCAGCAGCAGGU
Molecule: long non-coding RNA, 876 nt
Organism: Scylla paramamosain (green mud crab)
Lineage: Eukaryota; Metazoa; Arthropoda; Malacostraca; Decapoda; Portunidae
Exons: 6
Source: RefSeq, a predicted model, not a curated record